GACGUAGGGUGCGAGCGUUGUCCGGAUUUAUUGGGCGUAAAGAGCUCGUAGGCGGCUUGUCGCGUCGACUGUGAAAACCCGCGGCUCAACUGCGGGCCUGCAGCCGAUACGGGCAGGCUAGAGUUCGGUAGGGGAGACUGGAAUUCCUGGUGUAGCGGUGGAAUGCGUAGAGAUCGGGAAGAACACCAGUGGCGAAGGCGACGUGCUGGGUUGCAACUGACGCUGAGAUGCGAAAGUGUGGGGAGCAAACGGG
RNAcentral lists this ribosomal RNA (253 nucleotides) under uncultured bacterium. RNAcentral describes it as "partial 16S ribosomal RNA". It matches the Rfam family "Bacterial small subunit ribosomal RNA", at positions 524 to 776 of the family's 1533-position model. The record is from RNAcentral.